This 468-nucleotide ribosomal RNA is filed under the name uncultured bacterium. RNAcentral's name for it is "partial 16S ribosomal RNA". It matches the Rfam family "Bacterial small subunit ribosomal RNA", at positions 28 to 507 of the family's 1533-position model. The record is from RNAcentral.
GACGAACGCUGGCGGCGUGCUUAACACAUGCAAGUCGAACGGCAAGGCCCUGCUUUUGUGGUGUGCUCGAGUGGCGAACGGGUGAGUAACACGUGAGUAACCUGCCCUUGACUUUGGUAUAACUUCAGGAAACUGGGGCUACUACCGUAUAGGAUCUCCUGCUGCAUGGUGGGGGUUGGAAAUUUUCGGCUGUUGGGGAUGGACUCGCGGCUUAUCAGCUUGUUGGUGGGGUAGUGGCUUACCAAGGCUUUGACGGGUAGCCGGCAUGAGAGGGGGACCGGGGACAUGGGGACUGAGAUACGGCCCAGACUGCUACGGGAGGCAGCAGGGGGGAAUAUUGCACAAUGGGAGGAAGUCGGAUGCAGAAACGCCGCGUGCGGGAUGACGGCCUGCGGGUUGAAAACCGCUUUAGCCUGUGACGAAGCGGGAGUGACGGUAAUGGGUAAAGAAGCACCGGCUAACUACGUG